AGCAGCCGCGGUAAUUCCAGCUCCAAUAGCGUAUAUUAAAGUUGUUGCAGUUAAAAAGCUCGUAGUUGAAUUUCGGGAUCAAUAUGUCGGUCGUGCCUUGGUACGUACUGGUAUCAUUGGUCUCUCCUUUCUGACGAACCAUGAUGUCAUUAAUUUGGUGUUAUGGGAAGUUAGGACUGUUACUUUGAAAAAAAGUUAGAGUGUUUAAAAGCAGGCUUUAGCUUGAAUACAUUAGCAUGGAAUAAUGAAAUAGGACGUUCGAACCUAUUUUUGUUGGUUUCUAGGAUCAACGUAAUGAUUAAUAGGGAUAGUUGGGGGCAUUAGUAUUCAAUUGUCAGAGGUGAAAUUCUUGGAUUAUUGGAAGACUAACUACUGCGAAAGCAUUUGCCAAGGAUGUUUUCAUUAAUCAAGAACGAAGUUAGGGGAUCGAAGACGAUCAGAUACCGUCGUAGUCUUAACCAUAAACUAUGCCGACUAGGGAUCGGAUGAUGUUAAUUUUUUAAUGACUCACUCGGCGCCU
Molecule: unclassified non-coding RNA, 520 nt
Filed under: uncultured Glomus
Lineage: Eukaryota; Fungi; Glomeromycota; Glomeromycetes; Glomerales; Glomeraceae
Description: SSU rRNA
Rfam family: Eukaryotic small subunit ribosomal RNA
Source: RNAcentral